Thamnophis elegans (Western terrestrial garter snake) is the source of this 531-nucleotide long non-coding RNA. RefSeq lists it as uncharacterized. The transcript is spliced from 2 exons. The record is from RefSeq and is a predicted model, not a curated record. Lineage: Eukaryota; Metazoa; Chordata; Lepidosauria; Squamata; Natricidae.
CAGUUGCCUAUUGAAAAAAAGCACCUUUGGGAACAGCUGAACUUCCUUUUCCGGAUCACUCAUGGGAGGAGAGUGGUGUGCAGAGCGGCUUUUGUGCUCUUCCCAUGAUCGAAGCAGCAGCUGGAAGAUGAACAGGAUGGCAAUAAGAGCACUCGGGACAACUGUAAAUAACAAUCAGUGUUGAAAAGGGAAGAAAAUCAAGUCAAAAAUCAAAAUAUUUUCCAUUUCCUGCAGAAAACCUUACAAAUCUGUUCCUCCUCCAGCAGCUGUUUGACAAAAGAGAGAAAAUCAAGAAAGAAUAAGCAGAUUGUGCAGAACUCAAGGAUAAAUUAAAUGAGAGGUGAAGGGAGAUUGUUUAUAAUUCAGCAAAAGAGGGAAUAAAUAUCUGGAAGUCUGUUGGGAGGAAAAGAUCAAUAGUAAAGCCACGUAGAACAGACAGGCCUCUCCCUGUGAGGAAGAAGACGGCUUGAAUGAAAGCACCCUUAAACAAGGUAUUGUCCAUAUUUUUCACCUCCUCAAGAAUAUCAGCUG